GCGGAGGGCUGGAUGAUCGCGGGGCGGGCAACCGUUUCGAGGAAAGUCCGGACUCCCGUUGGCAAGGGUGCCGGGUAACGCCCGGCGGGGGCAACCCCAGGGAAAGCGCCACAGAGAAGAGACUGCCCUGCUUGACGGGGCGAUGGUGAAACGGUGGGGUAAGAGCCCACCGCGGUACUGGCAACAGGACCGGCACGGCAAGCCCCACCCGGAGCAAUGCCAAAUAGGGGCCUCGCGCGGGGGCCGGUCUCGAAAGGGAUACCGCCCGCAGGGAUGCCAACGCCCGAGAGGCCCGGGUUGGCAGCUUGACCGCCGUGGCGACACGGUUGGCAGAGGAAUGGUCAUCCAGCCCCGGAUCACGGUCCGGGGUGGACAGAAUCCGGCUUACAGGCUCUCCGCGCGC
RNAcentral lists this RNase P RNA (403 nucleotides) under Tabrizicola sp. Its description in RNAcentral is "RNase P RNA component class A". It matches the Rfam family "Bacterial RNase P class A". Rfam says of the family: Ribonuclease P (RNase P) is a ubiquitous endoribonuclease, found in archaea, bacteria and eukarya as well as chloroplasts and mitochondria. Its best characterised activity is the generation of mature 5'-ends of tRNAs by cleaving the 5'-leader elements of precursor-tRNAs. Cellular RNase Ps are ribonucleoproteins. The record is from RNAcentral. Lineage: Bacteria; Pseudomonadati; Pseudomonadota; Alphaproteobacteria; Rhodobacterales; Paracoccaceae.